This 488-nucleotide ribosomal RNA is filed under the name uncultured bacterium. RNAcentral's name for it is "partial 16S ribosomal RNA". It matches the Rfam family "Bacterial small subunit ribosomal RNA", at positions 28 to 507 of the family's 1533-position model. The record is from RNAcentral.
GUCGAACGCUGGCGGCGUGCUUAACACAUGCAAGUCGAACGGAAGGGCCCUGCUUUGGAGGGGGGCUCGAGUGGCGAACGGGUGAGUAACACGUGAGUAACCUGCCCGUGACGGGGGGAUAACUUCAGAAAACUGGGGCUAAUACCGGAUAGGAGCUCCUGCGGCAUGGGGGGGGUUGGAAAGUUUCGGCGGUUGGGGAUGGACUCGUGGCUUAUCAGCUUGUUGGUGGGGUAGAGGCCUACCAAGGCUACGAUGGGUAGCUGGUCUGAGAGGGCGACCAGCCACACUGGGACUGAGACACGGCCCAGACUCCUGCGGGAGGCAGCAGUGGGGAAUUUUGGACAAUGGGCGAAAGCCUGAUCCAGCAAUGCCGCGUGUGUGAAGAAGGCCUUCGGGUUGUAAAGCACUUUUGUCCGGAAAGAAAUCCUUGGCCCUAAUACGGUCGGGGGAUGACGGUACCGGAAGAAUAAGCACCGGCUAACUACGUG